UUGACACGCGCCCAUCCCCCCACAUCUCACAGUCGGAGUCAGUUUCACAGAGCAGCGCAGGAGGACGACAGACACAUAAAGAACAUUAACAGUUUAGCACAAAUGUUUCCCGUGGAAGUUUGAAUCUCUCUCAGUCAGGGGGGAGAUUGACUGACAGACUGUCUACUCGCCACCAAACAGUAAUUUACCCUGAAACCUUUUACAGUAAGGACUAACGUUAACUGACUGUCUGUCUGCUCUCAACCAAACAGUCAUUCAGGACCUUGUAAAGUUUAGCGCAAACGUUUCCUGCGCAAGUUUGAAUCUCUCAGUCAGGGGGGAGAUUGACUGACAGACUGUCUACUCGCCACCAGUCAGUUACACAGAAACCUUUUAAAGUUUAGCACAAACGUUUCCCGCGCAAGUUUGGAUCUUUACCAUUGAGGGUGGCUGACUGAUUUCUACCAACCAUCAUUCACACGCAAAAACUUUAAAGAUAAGUAUGAACGUGCCCAGAGCAGUUUUCGAUCUUUACCAUUAAGGUGGCUGACUGACUAUCCUCUACCACCCGUCAUUAACACAACAAAAACUAAAGAAAUGUAACUCCAUAUGGACCUAUUCAUUUACUCAUUAUGCUGUGAGUACACCACAGUUUUAUCAGGGAAAAAAUGUAUAUUUGUGUGUUUUUCACUGCUUGGCAAGGACAGAUGUGGCCCUGUUAAAAAUGUUUAAAUGUCGUUUGGUUUAAGGAACAGCACACUGAUUUUGUUUUAAAAUAUUCCUGUUUGGACAGUCUGUUAAAGUCAUAAAGCAGGGGUGGGGAACCCUGGUCCUGGAGGGCCACUGUCCUGCAGAGUAUAGUUCCAACCCUAAUUAAACACACCUGAAAAAUCUAAUUCAAGUCUUCAGGAUUACUUGAAAAUGAAAUUCAGGUGUGUUUGAUUAGGGUUGGAACUAAACUCUGCAGGACAGUGGCCCUCCAGGACCCAGGGUUCCCCACUCCUGUCAUAAAGGAAUACAUGAUAUAUUUCAUAAGUAAAGUGUAAAUGUAAUAUUAGUUUUUAAUGUUGUGAAUUUGGACUGAACAGCACACUUCUGUUUUAUAUCUAAACCUUUUGUAAAAUAAAUGAUUGUUGAAUAAACUCACUGUGUAUUUUAUCUUUUCUGUUAUCAUUUUUUUUACUAAUGUUUAAAAUGUACCUUUACGCUAACCGAUUGGCUAAACCAACACAAAUAUAUUGAGUCAUAUGCAAUUUUAAUUUAAAGUUUACAGUACUUAGAUUGAGAUAUAUGUAUAAGUUUUAAAACCAUAAUCAAUGAGUGUACCCUGUCAAAGCCAAUUUUGUACCCUUUUUGAAGGGUCCAUAUUUGUACUGUUAAAUAAAGGUACAAAAUUGUCACCAGAGGUACAAAACUGGUCUCUUAAGGUACAAAUCACAAGGGUACAAAUUUGUACCCUCUGCCAAGGGUACAAAAACUGUACCCUUGAGGGUACAGCCCCAGUGACAAGCCAUU
Long non-coding RNA from Paramisgurnus dabryanus, 1494 nucleotides. RefSeq lists it as uncharacterized. The record is from RefSeq and is a predicted model, not a curated record. Lineage: Eukaryota; Metazoa; Chordata; Actinopteri; Cypriniformes; Cobitidae.